This is a long non-coding RNA of Nycticebus coucang (slow loris), 563 nucleotides long. RefSeq lists it as uncharacterized. The record is from RefSeq and is a predicted model, not a curated record. NCBI's taxonomy places the organism in Eukaryota, Metazoa, Chordata, Mammalia, Primates, Lorisidae. The transcript is spliced from 3 exons.
CUGUUGCAAAAAUAUUCUCCUACAAGUAGUUGCUUGGUUCAGGAGAGGGAGAGGCUCCUCUGCCUGCAGUAACAAGGAGAGGCUGGAUCUUGCUCCGUCAGUCACCCAGGUAGCAGCGGUGUCAGCUUAGCUCACAGUAGCCUCAAACUCCUGGGCUCAAGUGAUGAUCCUCCCGCCUUAGCCUCCUGAGUGGCUGGGACUGCAGGCAUGAGCCACUGUACCCAGGUUUCAGGCUUGGUCUCUGUGACCAAGAGAAGACAGAAGACGUGGUGGUAUAUCCCUUGCAAGUUGCAGUUAAAAGAUUCUGUGGCUUCAGAGUUGGGCUGUCUUUCUCUCUCUUGGAUCGCUCACUCUGGAGGAAGCCUGCUGCCAAAUUUCGAGGACACUCAGGCAGGCUUUGGAGAGGCCCACAUGGAGAAGUGAGUCCGCCAAGAACCGUGGGAGUGAGCUGGAAAGCGCAUCCUGCAGCCUCAGAUGACUGCAGCCUGGUGGAGACCCAGAGCCAGAGUACCCUGCUGAGCUGUGAUUGAGUUCCUGACCCACAGAUGCUGUGGGGUAAUAAA